This 427-nucleotide ribosomal RNA is filed under the name uncultured bacterium. Its description in RNAcentral is "partial 16S ribosomal RNA". It matches the Rfam family "Bacterial small subunit ribosomal RNA", at positions 355 to 774 of the family's 1533-position model. The record is from RNAcentral.
UGGGGAAUAUUGGACAAUGGGCGAAAGCCUGAUCCAGCCAUGCCGCGUGUGUGAAGAAGGUCUUCGGAUUGUAAAGCACUUUAAGUUGGGAGGAAGGGCAUUAACCUAAUACGUUAGUGUUUUGACGUUACCGACAGAAUAAGCACCGGCUAACUCUGUGCCAGCAGCCGCGGUAAUACAGAGGGUGCAAGCGUUAAUCGGAAUUACUGGGCGUAAAGCGCGCGUAGGUGGUUUGUUAAGUUGGAUGUGAAAUCCCCGGGCUCAACCUGGGAACUGCAUUCAAAACUGACUGACUAGAGUAUGGUAGAGGGUGGUGGAAUUUCCUGUGUAGCGGUGAAAUGCGUAGAUAUAGGAAGGAACACCAGUGGCGAAGGCGACUACCUGGACUAAUACUGACACUGAGGUGCGAAAGCGUGGGGAGCAAACA